RNAcentral lists this ribosomal RNA (494 nucleotides) under uncultured bacterium. RNAcentral's name for it is "partial 16S ribosomal RNA". It matches the Rfam family "Bacterial small subunit ribosomal RNA", at positions 28 to 507 of the family's 1533-position model. The record is from RNAcentral.
GACGAACGCUGGCGGCGUGCUUAACACAUGCAAGUCGAACGGAAAGGACUGCUUUCCCUUGUGGAUUGCGGGUACUCGAGUGGCGAACGGGUGAGUAACACGUGAGUGAUCUGCCCCCAACUUGGGUAUAAGCCUGGGAAACUGGGUCUAAUUCACGAUAGGACUGCAGGGUGGGGCCUGUGGUGGAAAACGAUUUUCUAGUGGUUGGGGAUGAGCUCGCGGCCGAUCAGCUUGUUGGUGGGGUACUGGCCUACCAAGGCGGCGACGGGUAGCCGGCCUGAGAGGGUGGACGGUGACAUUGGGACUGGGUUACGGCCCAGACGCCUGCGGGCGGCAGCAGUGGGGGAUAUUGCACCAUGGGCGGAAGCCUGAUGCAGCGACGCCGCGUGGAGGAUGACGGCCUUCGGGUUGUAAACUCCUUUCGACCGCGAGGAAGCCACCUGGUUGGAAGGGUGGUGACGGUAGUGGUAGAAGAAGCACCGGCUAACUACGUG